GGUGCUGCCAGGGCCGGUAUGUGGGCGUGGAGUUUUUACUCUGUAUUUUUAUUGUACAAGAGUACAUUGCCUGUCAUCACUAUCAGCUAUUAAUCCCUAGCCCUGACUAGGUACCCCGCACCAAAUACUUAUUGAGAGUGUUGUGGGCGGUGCACUGUCCUGUGAGCUACACAAGACAGAAUAAUUAAUAAUAAUGAUAAUAGUAAUAAUAAUAAUAAUUCUCUCUGGAAAAUUUAGUCUGAGGUGUUUACUUUCAUAGCCAAGGAGAGAUGUUAAGUUGCCAAUUGGAUACAUUCCUGCCAGAGCUCAGUGUGAAGGUCAGGGCUGGAGGUGUGACUUAAUUACCUUACCCACAUUUCCCACUGAACGUGUGAAGUAAUUAAAGCCAUGGAACUGCAUGAGGUCAUUUAGGGAGAGAGUGAGCAAAAGGAGAAUGAAGAGAAGAGGACCCAAGUUGAUCCUUGGAGUGCCCCACCGUUUCGCAGUGGCAGGAAGCUGACUGGGAGAGGAAGCCGGUGAAGGCGUCCCGGCGUUGAAGCAGAGCCAGUGCCAACGACGCUGAAAGCUGAUGGUACAGACGCAGCUGCUGGAUCCAACGAGAUCUGGUUCCCUGGGAAGCAGACUCUGGAUGGAGUUUUACCUACGGAAAAGUUAUUGGGGAUGGGGCAGAGGACAAAGGUGUUUCAGUUUGCAACACCUACUCUGGAGUUGGAGGCCAGUUCAAAGGUGCAAGGCAACUGAAAGACUAAACUAAGGUCACUGGCCAAAUGUAUUUUGCAACCAGCAUAGAGUAGAAUACUAUGCAGCUGUGCAAAGGAUGAAGACACUCCUUGUAUACUGAUACAGAGGAAUCUCAAAGACAUAUUGUUUGGUGGAGAAUACAGAAGGGUAUCUGUAAUAUGCUGUGAAUUUAGGUAUAAAGGAGGGGAGGUAUGUGUGGGUAUUCACCCGUUUAUGAAUAAAAACAACCUCUGGAACACUAUACAAGGAGCUAAUGAGAAUGGUCAUUUAUUGGGGGAAAAUGGGAAUUGGCUGGAUGAGGGGCACAGAGGUAGGAAAGAAUUUGACUGUAAUCAUUAUUAGACUUUUAGAUUCUUUAAUCAGGUGAACUUGUAAUUUAUAAUCAUUUGAAAUGUUUGAAAUUGUUUGAAAUGUUAAAUAAGUAGAAGGAAGAAGGAAGGAAAGGAGGGAGGGUUAGGGGACAUGUUUAGAUUUCAUCAGUGUCUACCACAGGGUAUUAGGAAGGCCAUUUGGCUCAGGGCAUGCCAUUCAGAAAGGGUCUCAAAAUUACAUCUCCAAAUGAGAUUUUACCCACAUUCACAAAAACGGCAUUUACCAGCAACUUUAUACUUGGGUCCCAUUACCAAGUCACAUCUUCUGUAGCAUACAGUUGACCCUUGAAGAACACAGGGGCUGGGGGAGCUGACCCCCCAUGCAGUAAAAAAUCCAUGUAUAACUUU
Manis pentadactyla (Chinese pangolin) is the source of this 1460-nucleotide long non-coding RNA. RefSeq lists it as uncharacterized. The transcript is spliced from 4 exons. The record is from RefSeq and is a predicted model, not a curated record. Lineage: Eukaryota; Metazoa; Chordata; Mammalia; Pholidota; Manidae.